This 494-nucleotide ribosomal RNA is filed under the name uncultured bacterium. RNAcentral's name for it is "partial 16S ribosomal RNA". It matches the Rfam family "Bacterial small subunit ribosomal RNA", at positions 28 to 507 of the family's 1533-position model. The record is from RNAcentral.
GACGAACGCUGGCGGCGUGCUUAACACAUGCAAGUCGAACGGUGAAGCGCCUUCCUUUUUGGUGGGUGUGGAUGAGUGGCGAACGGGUGAGUAACACGUGAGUAACCUGCCCCCUUCUUCUGGAUAACCGCAUGAAAGUGUGGCUAAUACGGGAUAUUCUGGGUCUGUCGCAUGAUGGGUCUGGGAAAGAUAUUGUUUCGGUGGGGGAUGGGCUCGCGGCCUAUCAGCUUGUUGGUGGGGUGAUGGCCUACCAAGGCGGUGACGGGUAGCCGGCCUGGGAGGGUUGACGGUUCCCCUGGGACUGAGACACGGCCCAGACUCCUACGGGAGGCAGCAGUGGGGAAUAUUGCACAAUGGGCGCAAGCCUGAUGCAGCGACGCCGCGUGAGGGAUGGAGGCCUUCGGGUUGUGAACCUCUUUCGCCAGUGAAGCAGGCCUGCCUCGUUUGUGGGUGGGUUGACGGUAGCUGGAUAAGAAGCGCCGGCUAACUACGUG